This 481-nucleotide ribosomal RNA is filed under the name uncultured bacterium. RNAcentral describes it as "partial 16S ribosomal RNA". It matches the Rfam family "Bacterial small subunit ribosomal RNA", at positions 28 to 507 of the family's 1533-position model. The record is from RNAcentral.
GACGAACGUUGGCGGCGUGCUUAAUACAUGCAAGUCAACUGAAGCAGUGGUAGCAAUAUCGCUGUGGAGGUGGCGCACGGGUGAGUAACACGUAGGUAAUCUGCCUUCAGGUCUGGCAUAACUCCGGGAAACCGGGGCUAAUAGCAGAUGAUGCAGCGGCUCGACAUCGAGACAGUUGUUAAAGCUAUGUCGCCUGAAGAUGAGCCUGCGUCUGAUUAGCUAGUUGGCGGGGUAACGGCCCACCAAGGCAACGAUCAGUAGCUGGUCUGAGAGGAUGAUCAGCCACACUGGAACUGAGACACGGUCCAGACUCGUACGGGAGGCAGCAGUAAGGAAGAUUGCUCAAUGGGAGAAAUACUGAAGCAGCAACGCCGCGUGAGGGACGAAGGGCUUUUGCUUGUAAACCUCUGUAGUGAGAGAAAAAAAUCCCAAUCUUUGGGACAUGAUGGUAUCUCAAAAGUAAGCCCCGGCUAACUACGUG